This 138-nucleotide small nucleolar RNA is filed under the name Ornithorhynchus anatinus (platypus). The record is from RNAcentral. Lineage: Eukaryota; Metazoa; Chordata; Mammalia; Monotremata; Ornithorhynchidae.
CCCUUCUCAGGAUGGCAUCUGGAGAAUUUCCUGAACUCUACCAGUCUCGGUUACAGGAGGGAGAGUCAAGCAGAGGCAUACCCAUUCCAUUCCUAGCUUGGGCAGUGGCUAGCAAGUGGAAGGCAAUCUGCUACAAGU